Molecule: long non-coding RNA, 1153 nt
Organism: Rosa chinensis
Lineage: Eukaryota; Viridiplantae; Streptophyta; Magnoliopsida; Rosales; Rosaceae
Exons: 3
Source: RefSeq, a predicted model, not a curated record
GAGAAAGAGAGAGAGAAAUCGGGACAGACCGAUUCCACCCCCCCUCCUUCUUUCUUCUUUCUUUUUUUUCUCUCCUCCCUUCUCUUUUCUUUUCUACAACCGGAGCCCAUUUCCGGCGAAACCACCACCACCAACCGCACCACCGGUCAUUUGAGGAGCUUCUCUUCCUCCUCUUGCAUCUAAGCUUAUUUUGGCCUGUGGAGGAAGAAUCAAGGUGGAGGUUGACGGUGAACAGUAGUGUGAACAGUGAGCUGAGUUCUUGAUUUUUUUUUUUAUUGAAAUUUCGACUAUUUUCUGCUUGGUUUUGGGUGUUAUUGCAGGUUUAGAAGUUGAUGGGUGUGUUGUUGAGAUGAUUUUGAACUUGUUUUAAGCUUGAGGUUGUUUGCUUUGAGAUUUCUUGGAGAAUUGAUGUUGGUUAAGUUUGUUUUGAAUAUUAUGGUUUAUAAUUUUAUGGGUUGCUGAGUCUCUUGGUAAAAGGCUAUUGUUGAAUUAUUUUGUUGGGAAAUUAGAGAGGAGAUUGUGGUUUAAAAAGGGAAAAUUAAGAAAGAAUUGGAAAUUUUGGAAAGGGAAUUAUUUUAUGAUGUGGUGGUUAAUUAUGGUUGAGGAAUCGAAAUAAAAAUCGGUUGAAUGGUUAAGAGUUUUGAGGGCAUUGAGAUUGUAAGGAAUUCUGGAAUUCGAGAAUUGAAUCCUAAAUUGAGGAAUGGGUUGUUAGAGGAAAUUUCUUAUGAGUAAUGAGUAUUAAUUUCCGAAGGAUUAAGCUUUGUCUCUUAGAUUAAUUUCUUAUUGAGGUUAAUUAUAUCCUGCAACUUGUGACAGGACGUACUGAGCCCUCGAGCGAGGAGGACACGGGCAGGCAGCAGGAUUAGCUGCGGGACUUACUAAUUUCAGAUUUGCCGAGAUCAUGUCCAGGCUCUAGAGACUUUGGAAUCAGCGCUUUCGUUUUGUCCAUAAGUUAUUACUUAACCUACCUUGUAUGAUAUCGGCUUAGUUAUUAGUGUUGCUCUGAUAACCCUUUUUAAUUUGAUGGAUGUUUUUGUUCGGAUUGAUGUUGUUUACGGAGGUUAUGUUGGGAUUUGAACUUUCCGAAUGUAAUAUAUGUGCUUGGAAUGUAAAAAUGGUAUUGUGGGUUGAGUAGAAGUUAAAGUUUUAAUCA